GUGGUGUGACUUAGGUUCCUGUAUACCCAGUGGAACUGGAGGAUAGGCUUUUGUUAAGACUCAGAUGAAUGUAGAAGAACUGGUUUACCACUAACAAUAUGCCAACUUUUUAAAUAUUUCAGUUUGGUGAUGGACUGUAGAAUACUGUGCAGUAUUUUCAUAUACUUUUUACAUUUUUGCCAUUUAAUCAACAGGUGCCCUUCGAAGGCCCUCCGCCCAGCCCAUGCUGAGCCCUGAACAGGAACGCAUCGACUAUGACUAUGCUUCGCCUGACCCAGAAGAUGCCAGAGUGCUCAACCCUCCACCACCCUAUCAAGAGGUAGACCAGGAUCCAGUUGUACUCGACUCGCUGCAAGAUUUGGUUUCUUCUGCAGAUGAAACUGUGAAAAAACUGUGAAAAACCAGCAUCUAACAUGUACCUAUUGGAACACACACAUGUUCUCUGAUUAAUGUUCUUUUAACAGUGCCUUGUGGUACAGAAUUGACAGUUCUCCAUUGCUGUGCACAUAAGGGUCUGUGCAGUAUGUAACUGUUGUCUUUCAUGUUGUGGUUGUUGGUGUAAAUGGAUUUUUGUACUUUUAUAGGCACCUUACUAACCAAAUAAUGUCAACACACUGAGGAAGCAUAACCUUGGACAUGGAAUCUUUGUGUAUGUGUCCAGUGUGUAAUAAAUGAGACUGUUGCAUUGAAAUCAUCUUUUAAAACUCCAACCAUGUUUCCUAAUGUAUAAUACAACUUGGGAUGACAUCAGUAAGCUUUGGCUAGAGAGCAGAAAUUCACAGAGUUUAUUUGGGGACUAAGGAUCGCAGAUGUUGUUAUAAGGAUCCGGGGAAAUAGAAAGGAUCCCUAGAGAGAAACAUCUGUGUCUGUUUAUCUCAAGAACUGUAAAGAAACAGUAGAAAAACACUGUGAUCAGGUUUACUCAUAGGAUUCCAUUGUAUAGCCAUUUUGCUGUUCUAGGGUUCUAGCUAAAUACUGGACCGGUUUCGAUCGUUAAUUGUCCUUAGUAAAAGUUCAGACCCAAAAAGAUUUGUAAAAGGAUCCCAAAGUUUCCCUUCAGGUCCACAGAGACCCCAAGACUUCAGGCAGAUAGAUGGAUAGGAACAGAUGGAGGAGUCGAAUGGAAUCUGUUUCCUGUCUUGCAUCAUCAUUGCUUAGAUUAUCUUAGCCUUUUUGGACUUGAAACGUGUCGCUGCUGCACUUUCUUUUUUUUGCUGUAAUCAAUGCACUGUUUUGUAAUUUUGGAUUUAUUGCUGUACAUAAAAAAUGUCUAUUAACUGUACUGUCAAAUUUGCUAUGCUAAAAGAGACAGCUUUCAGAACUCUGUAUUAAGCUUACUGUGUGUAUUGUAGCAUUAUGUGUGUUGAGCCAUUGAAAUGUGAUUUUUAUGCUUUUUCUUUAGGUAUUUCUAUUUCUAUUUCAUAUGAAUAUGUUCUGUGUUCUGAUGAACAUGAUUUACUUACUAAACCAAAAUACUCUUUAAGAACUAAAAAUAAAGACAAUUAACACAU
This is a long non-coding RNA of Clupea harengus (Atlantic herring), 1511 nucleotides long. The record is from Ensembl. NCBI's taxonomy places the organism in Eukaryota, Metazoa, Chordata, Actinopteri, Clupeiformes, Clupeidae.